Molecule: ribosomal RNA, 1351 nt
Filed under: Euschemon rafflesia
Lineage: Eukaryota; Metazoa; Arthropoda; Insecta; Lepidoptera; Hesperiidae
Description: 16S ribosomal RNA
Rfam family: Eukaryotic large subunit ribosomal RNA (bases 1092-1250)
Source: RNAcentral
GAAGAAAAGAUUAAUAAUUUAAUGAGUAAUAAAAAUAAUUUUAAUAUUAAAUAUAUUUUAAAUAGGGGGUUAAAGUAUAAAUAAUAGAAAAAAUUAAAAAAUUUAUAGAAAAUUAGUAUUGUAAAAGAAUUUUUAAAUAAUUAUGAAAAUUAAAUGUUUGGGAAGUAAAUUUUAUUUAUUGUAUCUUGUGUAUCAGAGUUUAUUAAUAAUGAGUUUUAUAAAAAAAAAUCUCGAAUUUAAAAGAGUUAAUUAAUUAAUAAAUUUAUUGUUGAAAAAAUAUUUUUAAUAGUUAAUUUGCAAUGAAAUGUUAUUCGUUUUUAAAUAUAUCUAGUUUUUUUAGAAAUAAAUUUAAUUUAUAAUUUUUAUAAAAUAAAAAUAAGAAUUUAAAAAUUAUUUUUAAAUAAAAAUUAAAUAUUUUAAGGGAUAAGCUUUAAAUUAAAAUUUUAUAAUUAAUAAAUUAAAAAUAAAUUAAGAUUUUUAAAAUUUAUAUUGUUUAUAAAUUAUAUUUUUUUAUAAAAAAUUUUAAUAAAAAUAAAAUUUUUAAAUAAAUUUAAUUUUUUAUAAAAAAAUAAUUUUUAAUAAAAAAAAAUUAGUAAUAAUGAUAAAAUUAGUAUAAUAUGUUAUAAAUUUAAUAAAAUAAUUAUUAAAAAUUAAUUAAAAGGAAUUCGGCAAAAUUAUAUAUUCACCUGUUUAACAAAAACAUGUCUUUUAGAAAAUAAUAUAAAGUCAAAUCUGCCCACUGAUAAAAAUUAAAGGGCUGCAGUAUAUUGACUGUACAAAGGUAGCAUAAUCAAUAGUCUUUUAAUUGAAGACUUGUAUGAAAGAUUUAAUGAAAUAUAAACUGUCUCUUAUUUAUAAUUAGAAAUUAAUUUUUUAGUAAAAAAGCUAAAAUAAGUUUAAAAGACGAGAAGACCCUAUAGAGUUUUAUUAUUAAAUAAUUUUUUAAUUCUUAUUUUAAUAAAUUAAAUAAAAAAUUAUUUAAUAAUUUUAUUGGGGUGAUAAAAAAAUUUAAUAAACUUUUUUUAAUAUAAAACAUUAAUUAAUGAUUAAUUGAUCCAUAAUUUAUGAUUAAAAGAAAAAAUUACCUUAGGGAUAACAGCGUAAUUUUUUCUUUUAGUUCAAAUAGGAGAAAAAGUUUGCGACCUCGAUGUUGGAUUAAGAUAAAAUUUAAAUGCAGAAGUUUAAAAUUUUGAUCUGUUCGAUCAUUAAAAUCUUACAUGAUCUGAGUUCAAACCGGUGUAAGCCAGGUUGGUUUCUAUCUUUAAAUAAUUAAAAUAUUUUAGUACGAAAGGAUUAAAUAUUUAAAAUAAAUUUUAUAUAAAGAGAAUUUUAUUAAUUAUAUGUAUAUAAU